This 871-nucleotide ribosomal RNA is filed under the name uncultured Spirochaeta sp. Its description in RNAcentral is "bacterial SSU rRNA". It matches the Rfam family "Bacterial small subunit ribosomal RNA", at positions 620 to 1493 of the family's 1533-position model. The record is from RNAcentral. Lineage: Bacteria; Pseudomonadati; Spirochaetota; Spirochaetia; Spirochaetales; Spirochaetaceae.
CAUGCGCUGGAAACGCGGGGGCUUGAAGUCAACGAGGGGAUGCCGGGAAUUCCAGGUGUAAGGGGUGAAAAUCUGUAGAUAUCUGAAGAACACCAGUGGCGAAGGCAGGCAUCUGGCGACUGACUGACGCUGAGGCGCGAAGGUGCGGGGAGCAAACAGGUUUAGAUACCCUGGUAGUCCGCACAGUAAACGAUGUGCACCAGGUGGCGGGCAGCAGUGCUCGGUACCGAAGCAAACGCAUUAAGUGCACCGCCUGGGGAGUAUGCCCGCAAGGGUGAAACUCAAAGGAAUUGACGGGGGCCCGCACAAGCGGUGGAGCAUGUGGUUUAAUUCGACGAUACGCGAGAAACCUUACCAGGGCUUGACAUACACCGGAAUAUGGCGGAAACGUCAUAGCUGCUUGCAGUCGGUGAACAGGUGCUGCAUGGCUGUCGUCAGCUCGUGCUGUGAAGUGUUGGGUUAAGUCCCGCAACGAGCGCAACCCCUGCCUUCUGUUACCAUCAUUCAGUUGGGGACUCAGAAGGAACUGCCGGUGACAAACCGGAGGAAGGUGGGGACGACGUCAAGUCAUCAUGGCCCUUACGUCCUGGGCCACACACGUGCUACAAUGGCCGGUACAGAGUGCUGCGAAUCCGGAAGGAGGAGCGAAUCACAAAAAGCCGGUCUCAGUACGGACUGGAGUCUGCAACCCGACUCCACGAAGUUGGAAUCGCUAGUAAUCCCGUAUCAGCAUGACGGGGUGAAUACGUUCCCGGGCCUUGUACACACCGCCCGUCACACCAUCCGAGUUGGGGGUACCCGAAGUCGCUAGUCUGGCCGCAAGGGGGACGGUGCCGAAGGUACGCCUGGUGAGGAGGGUGAAGUCGUAACA